GAUGAACGCUGGCGGCGUGCCUAAUACAUGCAAGUCGAGCGAACGGACGAGAAGCUUGCUUCUCUGAUGUUAGCGGCGGACGGGUGAGUAACACGUGGAUAACCUACCUAUAAGACUGGGAUAACUUCGGGAAACCGGAGCUAAUACCGGAUAAUAUUUUGAACCGCAUGGUUCAAAAGUGAAAGACGGUCUUGCUGUCUCUUAUAGAUGGAUCCGCGCUGCAUUAGAUAGUUGGUAAGGUAACGGCUUACCAAGGCAACGAUGCAUAGCCGACGUGAGAGGGUGAUCGGCCACACUGGAACUUAGACACGGUCCAGACUACUACGGGAGGCAGCAGUAGGGAAUCUUCAGCAAUGGGCGAAAGCCUGACGGAGCAACGGCGCGUGAGUGAUGAAGGUCUUCGGAUCGUAAAACUCUGUUAUUAGGGAAGAACAUAUGUGUACGUAACUGUGCACAUCUUGACGGUACCUAAUCAGAAAGCCACGGCUAACUACGUG
RNAcentral lists this ribosomal RNA (497 nucleotides) under uncultured bacterium. Its description in RNAcentral is "partial 16S ribosomal RNA". It matches the Rfam family "Bacterial small subunit ribosomal RNA", at positions 28 to 507 of the family's 1533-position model. The record is from RNAcentral.